RNAcentral lists this ribosomal RNA (253 nucleotides) under uncultured bacterium. RNAcentral describes it as "partial 16S ribosomal RNA". It matches the Rfam family "Bacterial small subunit ribosomal RNA", at positions 524 to 776 of the family's 1533-position model. The record is from RNAcentral.
UACGUAGGGUGCAAGCGUUAAUCGGAAUUACUGGGCGUAAAGCGUGCGCAGGCGGUUUUGUAAGACAGGGGUGAGAUCCCCGGGCUUAACCUGGGAACUGCAUUUGUGACUGCAUAGCUAGAGUACGGUAGAGGGGGAUGGAAUUCCGCGUGUAGCAGUGAAAUGCGUAGAUAUGCGGAGGAACACCGAUGGCGAAGGCAAUCCCCUGGACCUGUACUGACGCUCAUGCACGAAAGCGUGGGGAGCAAACAGG